RNAcentral lists this long non-coding RNA (225 nucleotides) under Lathyrus oleraceus (garden pea). Its description in RNAcentral is "Pisum sativum (pea) long non-coding RNA (PSAT_LNC000376)". The record is from RNAcentral. Lineage: Eukaryota; Viridiplantae; Streptophyta; Magnoliopsida; Fabales; Fabaceae.
CUAGACAAAAAUAUAACCCAACAAAAUCGAGAAUAAUCAUCAACUAUAACAAACCCAUAAUAGUUUCCAUCUAAGCUUUUGGUCUUAGAAGUACCAAAAAGGUCCAUAUGAAGAAGUUCGAGAGGUCUAGAUGUUGAAACAACAUUUUUCGAUUAAAAGAGAAAUUUGUUUGCUUCCCCAUUUGACAUGCUUCUCAUAAGUGGUCUUUUGUGAAAUUCAUUUUAG